RNAcentral lists this transfer RNA (69 nucleotides) under Graphiurus kelleni (savanna dormouse). RNAcentral's name for it is "tRNA-Gly". Lineage: Eukaryota; Metazoa; Chordata; Mammalia; Rodentia; Gliridae. The record is from RNAcentral.
GCUUUCUUAGUAUUAACUAGUACAACUGACUUCCAAUCAGUUAGUUUCAGUAUAAUCUGGAAGAGAGCA